Long non-coding RNA from Felis catus (domestic cat), 788 nucleotides. RefSeq lists it as uncharacterized. Lineage: Eukaryota; Metazoa; Chordata; Mammalia; Carnivora; Felidae. The transcript is spliced from 8 exons. The record is from RefSeq and is a predicted model, not a curated record.
GAGCAACUGUAACUCACAGGCAAAAAAUUGAACAAACACGGGAACACCUGCAGCAGGCAGAGCUCACCUUUAGAUACCAGCUCGCAGUUCAUGAGAAGAAUGCUCAGAACAACUAGAUCAAGACUCAGAUCUGGGACAGGGAGACGGCGGAGCAGGGCAGGAAGGUCACUUACUUGAAAUACAGACUGGACGGGAUGGAAGCAAAGAGGCUGCCUGAGGGAUACAUUAGGCAGAAACCAAUGGCUGCAAGACCAGAGAUGUAGAACCCUCCAAGGAGAGAGUCUUUAGUAGAUCGAGAAACUGCUGAAACCUCUGUGAGUUACAGUGGCUCUGGCUGUACCAAGAAUGCAGACAAGGACAAGGGGAGUCUGGAUCCUGAGUACCUCCUCCAUUAACUGGACGAUUCUGCAUGCCCUACCCUAGAGAUGCCCUGCCCCCAUGGACUAUUAGGCACAUCCACCUCCUGAACCCUGGUGGCCCUGGGGCCACCUGGAACUCCUCCACCUGCAACACUUGGCUAUUUUGUAUGCAAGAGGGCCUGGUCCUUUCCCAGGAUUGCUUUGCAGGCUGUACCCCAUGGACACCCUUCACUACCAGUCAUGGGCUAUAGGCCACAUCCCUCUCCUCCCCCUACUCUAUUUGUUAAGAUGACCUGAACUGGAUGAGUGGCUGGACAACUCUUUUGAAAUUUGAAGAGGACUGUGCACGGUGACAGACAAUCGUGUUUGUAUAUACAUUUUAAGAAGGUGUCAGAUCUACCUGAAUGCUUUCCCUGCCCAUCCUGUCCC